GGAAUCUUCCACAAUGGGCGCAAGCCUGAUGGAGCAACACCGCGUGAGUGAAGAAGGGUUUCGGCUCGUAAAACUCUGUUGUUGGAGAAGAACGUGCGUAAGAGUAACUGUUUACGCAGUGACGGUAUCCAACCAGAAAGUCACGGCUAACUACGUGCCG
RNAcentral lists this ribosomal RNA (160 nucleotides) under uncultured bacterium. RNAcentral describes it as "partial 16S rRNA". It matches the Rfam family "Bacterial small subunit ribosomal RNA", at positions 358 to 510 of the family's 1533-position model. The record is from RNAcentral.